Molecule: ribosomal RNA, 486 nt
Filed under: uncultured Actinomycetales bacterium
Lineage: Bacteria; Bacillati; Actinomycetota; Actinomycetes; Actinomycetales
Description: bacterial SSU rRNA
Rfam family: Bacterial small subunit ribosomal RNA
Source: RNAcentral
AACGCCGCGUGCGGAAUGACGGCCUUCGGGUUGUAAACCGCUUUCAGCAGGGAAGAAGCGAAAGUGACGGUACCUGCAGAAGAAGCCCGGCUAACUACGUCCAGCAGCCGCGUAAUACGUAGGGUACAAGCGUUGUCCGGAUUUAUUGGGCGUAAAGAGCUCGUAGGCGGUUAGUCACGUCGGAUGUGAAAUCCCAGUGCUUAACACUGGGCCUGCAUUCGAUACGGGCUGACUAGAGUGUUGUAGGGGAGACUGGAACUCCUGGUGUAGCGGUGAAAUGCGCAGAUAUCAGGAAGAACACCGGUGGCAAAGGCGGGGUCUCUGGGCAACUUACUGACGCUGAGGAGCGAAAGCGUGGGGAGCAAACCAGGAUUAGGUACCCUUGGUAGUCCACGGCCGUAAAGCGGUGGGCGCAAGGUUGUGGGGAACAUCCCACGGUCUCCGACCCAGCAGAUAACGCAUUAAGCGGCUCCGCUUGGGGAGUAC